RNAcentral lists this small RNA (1019 nucleotides) under Pongo abelii (Sumatran orangutan). RNAcentral's name for it is "retained intron". Lineage: Eukaryota; Metazoa; Chordata; Mammalia; Primates; Hominidae. The record is from RNAcentral.
AAUCGAGGGGCUGGUGAAGGAGCUGCUGGAGAGGGAGGGACUCACAGCUGCAGGUGGGCCCUGGAGGGCGGCUGGACCCAGCGCUGUCGGAAGGGCAAGCUGCCAGAAGUGGAGGGGCUGGGACCAGUGGGGCAGGGGUCCUGCCCUGAGGCUCCCAGCCAUCCUCUCCUCUCACUGCAUACUGCUCCUUUCCAGGGAAAAUUGAGAUCAAAAUUGUCCGCCCAUGGGCUGAAGGGACUGAAGAGGGUGCACGUUGGCUAACUGAUGAGGACACGAGAAACCUCAAGGAGAUCUUCUUCAAUAUCUUGGUGCCGGGAGCCGAAGAGGCCCAGAAGGAACGCCAGCGGCAGAAAGAGCUGGAAAGCAAUUACCGCCGGGUGUGGGGCUCUCCAGGUGGGGAGGGCACAGGGGACCUGGACGAAUUUGACUUCUGAGACCAACACUGCACUUGAUCCUUCACGGAAUCCAGACUCUUCCUGGACUGGCCUGCCUCCUCCCCACCUCCCCACCCUGGAACCCCUGAGGGCCAAACAGCAGAGUGGAGCUGAGCUGUGGACCUCUCUCGGGCAACUCUGGGGGUGUGGGGGCCCUGGGUGAAUGCUGCUGCCCCUGUUGGCAGCCACCUUGAGACCUCACCGGGCCUGUGAUGUUUGCUCUCCUGAACUCUCACUCAAUUCUCUUCCUCUCCUCUGGGGCUUUUCCUGUUAUUGUCCCCUAACGGUAGGAUAUUCCCUGCUGCCUACCUGGAGAUUUGGUAGGAUCUUUUGAGUGGAGGUGGGUAGAGAGAGAAAGGAGGGCAGGACACUUAGCAAGCAGGCCCCCACCUGCCCUUAGUGCUGUCUGGACUCGCUUUACCCUCUUCUAUUGAAUUGCCUUGGGAUUUCCUUCUCCCUUUCCCUGCCCACCCUGUCCCCUACAAUUUGUGCUUCUGGUUUGAGGAGGCUUCACCUCUGUUGCUGAGGAAUUGAUAGAAUGCUGCCCAUCACCUCCAGCACAAUCCCAGUGAAAAAGGUCUGAAG